GACGAACGCUGGCGGCGCGCCUAACACAUGCAAGUCGAACGAGCGAGAGAGAGCUUGCUUUCUCGAGCGAGUGGCGAACGGGUGAGUAACGCGUGAGGAACCUGCCUCAAAGAGGGGGACAACAGUUGGAAACGACUGCUAAUACCGCAUAAGCCCACGGCGCCGCAUGGCACAGAGGGAAAAGGAGCAAUCCGCUUUGAGAUGGCCUCGCGUCCGAUUAGCUAGUUGGUGAGGUAAUGGCCCACCAAGGCGACGAUCGGUAGCCGGACUGAGAGGUUGAACGGCCACAUUGGGACUGAGACACUGCCCAGACUCCUACGGGAGGCAGCAGUGGGGAAUAUUGCACAAUGGGGGAAACCCUGAUGCAGCGACGCCGCGUGGAGGAAGAAGGUCUUCGGAUUGUAAACUCCUGUUGUUGGGGAAGAUAAUGACGGUACCCAACAAGGAAGUGACGGCUAACUACGUG
RNAcentral lists this ribosomal RNA (466 nucleotides) under uncultured bacterium. Its description in RNAcentral is "partial 16S ribosomal RNA". It matches the Rfam family "Bacterial small subunit ribosomal RNA", at positions 28 to 507 of the family's 1533-position model. The record is from RNAcentral.